AUUGAACGCUGGCGGCAGGCUUAACACAUGCAAGUCGAGCGGUAACAGAGAGAAGCUUGCUUCUCUGCUGACGAGCGGCGGACGGGUGAGUAAUGCCUAGGAAUCUGCCUAGUAGUGGGGGAUAACUUGCCGAAAGGUAAGCUAAUACCGCAUACGUCCUACGGGAGAAAGGAGGGGACCUUCGGGCCUUUCGCUAUUAGAUGAGCCUAGGUCGGAUUAGUUAGUUGUUGGGGUAAUGUCUCACCAAGACCGCGAUCCGUAACUGGUCUGAGAGGACAAGCACUCAGACUGGAACUGAGACACGGUCCAGCCUCCUCCUGGAGGCAGCCGUGGGGAAGAUUGGCCAAUGGAGGGAAGCCUGAUUCAGCCAUGCCGCGUGUGUGAAGAAGAUCUUAGGAUUGUAAAGCACUUUAAGUUGGGAGGAAUAGCAGUUAACUAAUAUUUGACUGUUUGGACGUUACCGACAGAAUAAGCACCGGCUAACUUCGUGCCAGCCGCCGCCGUAA
RNAcentral lists this ribosomal RNA (506 nucleotides) under uncultured bacterium. RNAcentral's name for it is "partial 16S ribosomal RNA". It matches the Rfam family "Bacterial small subunit ribosomal RNA", at positions 30 to 523 of the family's 1533-position model. The record is from RNAcentral.